AGUAUUAGUUAUGUGCUUGAAAUUUAAAGGAUUUGGCGGUAUUUUAGUCUUUUCAGAGGUUCCUGUCCUGUGAUUGAUAAUCCACGAUUAAUUGUACUUAUUUUAUUAGUUUGUAUAUCGUCGUAGAUUGAAUGUUUUAAAAGAAUGAGGAAUGUUCAAGAUUUAUUAUUAUAAAAGAAAUCAGAUCAAGGUGUAGCUUAUAAAUAAGGAGAGAUGGGUUACAUUAAAUUUAUUUAAUUGGUUAAAAUAAUUAACAUUAUUUUAUAAAUUGGAUUUGAAAGUAAUAUAAUUUAGUUAAAUUAUAUGAUUAUAGCUCUAAGAUAUGCACAUAUCGCCCGUCGCUCCCACUUUAAGGUGGGAUAAGUCGUAACAAAGUAGGUGUACUGGAAAGUGUACCUAGAUCGUCAAAUUAGAGCUUGUUAGAAAGUAUUUUAUUUACAUUAAAAAGUGAGUUGUGAGAAUCAAUUUAAUUUGAUAAUAAUUAUUUUAUUAGUGAAAUUAAAAAAAAAAAUUUUGUUAUUAGUAUUUUAUUAGAAUAUAGGGGAAUUUAAUUAUAGUUAAUUAGUAUAGUGAUAGGAUAGUUGAAAUAUUAAUUAAAUUUAUAAAAAGAAGGAUUAGAUUUUUGUACCUUGUGUAUCAGGGUUUAUUAAAAUAAGUUUAAAAAUUUAAUAUUCUCGAAUUUUUAAGAGCUAAUAGUUUAUAAAUUUAAUUGUGAAAUAAAUUUUUUUAAUAAAUUAUUAGAAAUGAAACGUUAGUCGUUUAGGGAGAUAUCUAGUUUUUUAAGAAAUAAAUUUAAUUUAAUUUUUUAGAUUUAUAAUAUUAAUUUAUUAAUAUUAUAAUUUAAGAAUUAAAAAUUUUAGGGGAUAAGCUUUAAAAUUUAUUAUUUAAAAAUUUAUUAUUAUUAAUAGUAAAAUUAAUAGAAUUAGGAGUUUUAAUUUUUUAGUGUGUUAUAAUUAAUUUUAUUUUUUAUAUGAUUUAUAUUUAUUUUAAAUUUUAUAUUAAAAUGAUUUAUAAAAUAAAAUUUUAUAUGUAAUAAUGAUUAAAUUAGUAUAAUUUAAUGUUAGAUUAAAUUUUUAUAUUAAGGUUAAGUUAAGGAAUUCGGCAAAUAUAGUUUUUCGCCUGUUUAUUAAAAACAUGGCCUUUUGAUUAUAAUUUAAGGUCUGACCUGCCCACUGAGGAUUUAAAUGGCCGCGGUAUUUUGACCGUGCAAAGGUAGCAUAAUAAUUAGUUUUUUAAUUGAAAGCUGGAAUGAACGGUUGGACGAGAAAAUGACUGUCUUGAUUUAAUUUAAAUUAAAAUUUUAUUUUUAAGUAAAAAAGCUUAAAUUUUAUUAAAAGACGAGAAGACCCUGUAGAGUUUUAUAUAUGUGUAUAUUGGGAUUAUUUAGUUAGUUUAUUUUUUAAUAUAUAAAUGUAUUUUGUUGGGGUGACAGAAAAAUUUGAUAAACUUUUUUUAAAAGUAUUCACUA
Molecule: ribosomal RNA, 1468 nt
Filed under: Epholcis sp. A NLG-2014
Lineage: Eukaryota; Metazoa; Arthropoda; Insecta; Coleoptera; Scarabaeidae
Description: partial 16S ribosomal RNA
Source: RNAcentral